GGGGAUGUAGCUCAGCGGGAGAGCGCCUGCUUUGCAAGCAGGAUGUCGUGGGUUCAAAUCCCACCAUCUCCA
This is a non-coding RNA of Hydrogenobaculum sp. Y04AAS1, 72 nucleotides long. The record is from Rfam. Lineage: Bacteria; Pseudomonadati; Aquificota; Aquificia; Aquificales; Aquificaceae.